RNAcentral lists this ribosomal RNA (481 nucleotides) under Cocculina cf. japonica MNHN IM 2013-41045. RNAcentral's name for it is "partial large subunit ribosomal RNA". It matches the Rfam family "Bacterial large subunit ribosomal RNA", at positions 1816 to 2563 of the family's 2925-position model. The record is from RNAcentral. Lineage: Eukaryota; Metazoa; Mollusca; Gastropoda; Cocculinidae.
GGCUCUUUGAUAAAAAAUAAUAGAGAGUCGAGCCUGCCCAAUGACAUGUUUGUUUAAUGGCCGCGGUACCCUGACCGUGCGAAGGUAGCAUAAUCAUUUGUCUUUUAAUUGAAGACUAGAAUGAAUGGUUUGACGAAAAUAGAGCUGUCUUUUUUUUAUUAAUUAGAAAUUUGUCUUAAAGUGAAGAAACUUUAAUUUAUGUAAAAGACAAGAAGACCCUGUUGAGCUUAAAUAAGGUAGAUUAGAUAGGCUUAUAGGAUUAGAUAGUUUAAAAUGAUUUAAAAAUAUUUUGGUUGGGGCGACUUAGGAAUAAAAAAAUCUUCCUUUAGUAUAUAGUAAGAAGUAUAAAGUGAUCCGACAUUGUCGAUUGAAAGAAAUAGCUACCACAGGGAUAACAGCGUAAUUUUUUUAAAGAGUUCAAAUCGAAAAAAAAGUUUGCGACCUCGAUGUUGGAUUGAGAUUUCUAGAGGGUGCAGUCGCU